This 1900-nucleotide long non-coding RNA is filed under the name Podarcis lilfordi (Lilford's wall lizard). The record is from RNAcentral. Lineage: Eukaryota; Metazoa; Chordata; Lepidosauria; Squamata; Lacertidae.
GUAGGAGGCAAUAUCAGGGUGUAAGGACACAUUCCAGCUAGGCCGAAACCCUCAAGGUAGUUGUGGGGCUGGGCCAAUGUGGAGAUGGGAUGUGGUCUGGGGAGAGUCCCAAUGGCCAGAUAGGUGUGGAGGACAGCCUCAGAUCUCGGGUUCACCUGAGGUAGGCUUUGGUCUCAUCCAGCUUGUGCUCAAAGCUUUCUCUUUUUUUCAAUGGAUAAAGAACUGAAGAUUGACUGACAGUUUCUCCAAACAACUGCUUUCAGGAUUUGAGAGAGGGAAAGGAUAAUUGCCACACCUAGUCUCCAGAAAUAUGCCAAGAAUAAUGAAGUCACAGAAACAAACGAAUGCCUUAAAGCAAACUGCACGGGAAAAUAACUUUCCAGGCAAAAACUCAGAUGCUCAGUGCAACAGAAAGUUGUCACGUGGCUUGCCGCUGCCUCACCGGAAAGCAAUCGGGCACGUUAGUGUAGAUGCACAUGGAGACAAAACCUGUGGUCUUUGCUAGGAGUGGUGUCUGGGCAAUGACUAAGAGUUACCCCAUCAGCUAUUCCUCCGCCCCCUGCAGAUUAAAUUUUCAUUUGUUGUUGUUUUCAAUCAGCAAGGGAUAAAUGAAUUUAGCAGGGUAUGUGCCCUUUAAAUAUCAAGUGGAGUUGAAAGGUUUGUUUGCAUGCAAGAGGGAUGAACUUUUGACAUUAAGGAAGCUUUGUGUGGUAAUGGCCAGGUGAAUCGCUUUGAGGUACCAGCUGCUCCCUCCAGCUUUCCAGAGUGCAGCUUUUGAAACUGAUCAACAGUCCAUUGAAUGAAUGGAGACUGAAAGAGAGAGAGAGAGAGAGAAUCCUCUAGUUGAAGGGGCCUCAAAGGCUACCUAGUCAUUUGUGCUUAUAUCUUCAUUUUUAUGCAUAAAGGUAAAUGUAAAGGGUCCCCUGACCAUUAGGUCUAGUCGUGGCUGACUCUGGGAUUGUGGCACUCGUCUCGCUUUACUGGCCGAGGGAGCCGGCAUACAGCUUCCGGGUCAUGUGGCCAGCAUGACUGAGCCGCUUCUGGCGAACCAGAGCAGCACACGGAAACGCCGUUUACCUUCCCACCAGAGUGGUACCUAUUUAUCUACUUGCACUUUGACGUGCUUUCAAACUGCUAGGUUGGCAGGAGCAGGGACCGAAGAACGGGAAAUCACCCCGUCGCAGGGAUUCGAACUGCCGACCUUCUGAUUGGCAAGUCCUAGGCUCUGUGGUUUAACCCACAGCGUCACCCGUGUCCCUUUUUUUUUUUAUGCAUGCUUCCCCCUAAUACAUGCUUUUUUGUAAACGUGGGGUAGGGGGAGAACCACCCUGCAAAAUUCAGUAAGUGUGACUUUUGAAGGAUGGUUCUGUUUCGGAGCUCAUAUUGUUUCUGAAAGUGUGGAUUAGACAGUCACCUUUAAAGGUCUACUGAAUCAACCCCUCGGAUCCUUAAAUGUGACCAUUCACUCAUUCAUUUUAAUAACUAGUUUGGCCCUCACACCAACCCCUGUUGGACUUCUGACUCUUCUCUCCUGUUUCUUUGAGAAUGUCUUUCUUGACCCAUCUUUGCAGUAUCAACGGACUUGCUUCCUGCCACUUCAUUUCCUGACUACUUCGGCUAAUGUACUCGCCCGCAGCAUGGUUUUGGAAACGGACCAGCUGGCUUAAUUUUAGAACUUCUUCAGUGGGUAAAGUAAAGCUGACGCUUUGAUUAGCUGAGAACUGUUUGCAUGUCCACAUCUCACACCCGCUAUUGUGUUCACAAAAAGGCAACGUUAAGUCCAGCCACUGAAGUCAAUUAGGGAGCAUUUCCCCAAGCCUUCCUGCUUCUAUUUGUGUGUAUCCCUGAGAACCCUUGAAAUUUCUCUUUUUCUCAGGAAUGGGUGGCUCUCUCAGCUUUG